GACGAACGCUGGCGGCGUGCCUAACACAUGCAAGUUGAGCGAUGAAGAUUGGUGCUUGCACCAAUUUGAAGAGCAGCGAACGGGUGAGUAACGCGUGGGGAAUCUGCCUUUGAGCGGGGGACAACAUUUGGAAACGAAUGCUAAUACCGCAUAACAACUUUAAACAUAAGUUUUAAGUUUGAAAGAUGCAAUUGCAUCACUCAAAGAUGAUCCCGCGUUGUAUUAGCUAGUUGGUGAGGUAAAGGCUCACCAAGGCGAUGAUACAUAGCCGACCUGAGAGGGUGAUCGGCCACAUUGGGACUGAGACACGGCCCAAACUCCUACGGGAGGCAGCAGCAGGGAAUCUUCGGCAAUGGACGAAAGUCUGACCGAGCAACGCCGCGUGAGUGAAGAAGGGUUUCGGAUCGUAAAACUCUGUUGGUAGAGAAGAACGUUGGUGAGAGUGGAAAGCUCAUCAAGUGACGGUAACUACCCAGAAAGGGACGGCUAACUACGUG
Molecule: ribosomal RNA, 497 nt
Filed under: uncultured bacterium
Lineage: Bacteria
Description: partial 16S ribosomal RNA
Rfam family: Bacterial small subunit ribosomal RNA
Source: RNAcentral